UCCUACGGGAGGCAGCAGUAGGGAAUCUUCCGCAAUGGACGAAAGUCUGACGGAGCAACGCCGCGUGAGUGAUGAAGGCUUUCGGGUCGUAAAACUCUGUUGUUAGGGAAGAACAAGUGCUAGUUGAAUAAGCUGGUACCUUGACGGUACCUAACCAGAAAGCCACGGCUAACUACGUGCCAGCAGCCGCGGUAAUACGUAGGUGGCAAGCGUUGUCCGGAAUUAUUGGGCGUAAAGCGCUCGCAGGCGGUCUUUUAAGUCUGAUGUGAAAGCCCACGGCUUAACCGUGGAGGGUCAUUGGAAACUGGAGGACUUGAGUACAGAAGAGGAGAGUGGAAUUCCACGUGUAGCGGUGAAAUGCGUAGAGAUGUGGAGGAACACCAGUGGCGAAGGCGACUCUCUGGUCUGUAACUGACGCUGAGGAGCGAAAGCGUGGGUAGCGAACAGGAUUAGAUACCCUGGUAGUCCACGCCGUAAACGAUGAGUGCUAGGUGUUAGGGGGUUUCCGCCCCUUAGUGCUGAAGUUAACGCAUUAAGCACUCCGCCUGGGGAGUACGGCCGCAAGGCUGAAACUCAAAGG
Molecule: ribosomal RNA, 580 nt
Filed under: uncultured bacterium
Lineage: Bacteria
Description: bacterial SSU rRNA
Rfam family: Bacterial small subunit ribosomal RNA
Source: RNAcentral